Molecule: long non-coding RNA, 815 nt
Filed under: Salmo salar (Atlantic salmon)
Lineage: Eukaryota; Metazoa; Chordata; Actinopteri; Salmoniformes; Salmonidae
Description: lncRNA (ENSSSAG00000096149.1)
Source: RNAcentral
GUGUGAUUGAUGUUAACACCUUGGUUAGGAGCUCCUCUAAGGUCUGGUUGAUGUUAACACCUUGGUUAGGAGCUCCUCUAAGGUCUGGUUGAUGUUAACACCUUGGUUAGGAGCUCCUCUAAGGUCUGGUUGAUGUUAACACCUUGGUUAGGAGCUCCUCCAAGGUCUGGUUGAUGUUAACUCCUUGGUUAGGAGCUCCUCCAAGGUCUGGUUGAUGUUAACUCCUUGGUUAGGAGCUCCUCUAAGGUGUAGAUGUCUGGUUGAUGUUUACACCUUGGUUAGGAGCUCCUCCAAGGUCUGGUUGAUGUUAACUCCUUGGUUAGGAGCUCCUCUAAGGAGUGGUUGAUGUUAACACCUUGGUUAGGAGCUCCUCCAAGGUCUGGUUGAUGUUAACACCUUGGUUUGGAGCUCCUCUAAGGAGUGGUUGAUGUUUACACCUUGGUUAGGAACUCCUCUAAGGUCUGGUUGAUGUUAACACCUUGGUUAGGAGCUCCUCUAAGGUCUGGUUGAUGUUAACACCUUGGUUAGGAGCUCCUCUAAGGUCUGGUUGAUGUUAACACCUUGGUUAGGAGCUCCUCUAUGGUGUAGAUGUCUGGAUGCUGUUUGCUCUCCCUCAGCAGGACCACCUCCCACUCCACUCUGGUGAUCUCAUCCCUCAUGGCAGCCAUGGUGGUGAGGAGGGCCUGAGCCUGCUCUGCACUGAAGGGUCGCUACUCUUACCUGGCACCAUGACAGUCCCAGUCUGUUUCAAACAGCCUAAUGUUACCUGGCACCAUGACAGUCCCAGUCUGUUACCUGGCACCAUGACAGUCCCA